Molecule: ribosomal RNA, 502 nt
Filed under: uncultured bacterium
Lineage: Bacteria
Description: bacterial SSU rRNA
Rfam family: Bacterial small subunit ribosomal RNA
Source: RNAcentral
UUGAACGCUGGCGGCAUGCCUAACACAUGCAAGUCGAACGGUAACGGACCGCUGGGAUUCCUUCGGGAUGACCUUGGUGCCGACGAGUGGCGGACGGGUGAGUAAUACUUAGGAAUCUACCCAGUAGUGGGGGACAACUCGAGGAAACUCGAGCUAAUACCGCAUACGCCCUACGGGGGAAAGCGGGGGAUCUUCGGACCUCGCGCUAUUGGAUGAGCCUAAGUCGGAUUAGCUUGUUGGUGAGGUAAUGGCUCACCAAGGCGACGAUCCGUAGCUGGUCUGAGAGGACGAUCAGCCACACUGGGACUGAGACACGGCCCAGACUCCUACGGGAGGCAGCAGUGGGGAAUAUUGGACAAUGGGCGCAAGCCUGAUCCAGCAAUGCCGCGUGUGUGAAGAAGGCCUGCGGGUUGUAAAGCACUUUCAGUAGAGAAGAAAAGCCUAGGGUUAAUACCCCUGAGUCUUGACGUAACCUACAGAAGAAGCACCGGCUAACUCCGUG